This 871-nucleotide ribosomal RNA is filed under the name uncultured bacterium. RNAcentral describes it as "bacterial SSU rRNA". It matches the Rfam family "Bacterial small subunit ribosomal RNA", at positions 37 to 956 of the family's 1533-position model. The record is from RNAcentral.
GGGCGGCAGGUCUACACAUGCAGUCGAGCGAGAACUAACUUCGGUUAGCGGAAAGCGGCGCACGGGUGAGUAACGCGUGGGAAUUUACCUAUCGGUGGGGGACAACAGUUGGAAACGACUGCUAAUACCGCAUACGCCCUAAGGGGGAAAGAUUUAUCGCCGAUAGAUAGGCCCGCGUUAGAUUAGGUGGUUGGUAGAGUCAUAGCCUACCAAGCCGACGAUCUAUAGCUGGUUUGAGAGAACGAUCAGCCACACUGGAACUGAGACACGGUCCAGACUCCUACGGGAGGCAGCAGUGGGGAAUCUUGCACAAUGGGCGAAAGCCGGAUGCAGCCAUGCCGCGUGAGUGAGAAGGCCUUCGGGUUGUCAAACUCUUUUGGAUGUGAGAUGAUGACGGUAACAUCAGAAAAAGCCCCGGCAAACUUCGUGCCAGCAGCCGCGGUAAUACGAAGGGGGCUAGCGUUGUUCGGAAUUACUGGGCGUAAAGAGCGUGUAGGCGGUUAUGUUAGUUAGUGGUGAAAGCCCAGAGCUUAACUCUGGAAUAGCCUUUAAUACUGCAUAACUUGAGAUCGUGAGGGGAUAGCGGAAUACCCAGUGUAGAGGUGAAAUUCGUAGAUAUUGGGUAGAACACCAGUGGCGAAGGCGGCUAUCUGGCACGAUACUGACGCUGAGACGCGAAAGCGUGGGGAGCAAACAGGAUUAGAUACCCUGGUAGUCCACGCCGUAAACGAUGUACACUAGCCGUUGGACCCUGAGUUCAGUGGUGCCGCUAACGCAUUAAGUGUACCGCCUGGGGAGUACGGUCGCAAGAUUAAACUCAAGGAAUGACGGGGGCCCGCACAAGCGGUGGAGCAUGUGGUUUAAUUCGAAA